UUGAUCCCGCCGGAGGUUACUGCUAUCGAGGUUCGACUAAGCCAUGCGAGUCGAAUGUAGCAAUACAUGGCGUACUGCUCAGUAACACGUGGACAACCUACCCUUAGGUCGGGGAUAAGCCCGGGAAACUGGGUAUAAUACCCGAUAGAUCUUGACUGCUGGAAUGCAUUGAGAUCGAAAGCUCCGGCGCCUAAGGAUGGGUCUGCGGCCUAUCAGGUAGUAGUGGGUGUAGCGUACCUACUAGCCUACGACGGGUACGGGUUGUGAGAGCAAGAGCCCGGAGACGGAUUCUGAGACACGAAUCCAGGCCCUACGGGGUGCAGCAGGCGCGAAAACUUUACAAUGCUGGAAACAGCGAUAAGGGGACCUCGAGUGCCAGGUUACAAAUCUGGCUGUCGUGAUGCCUAAAAAGCAUUGCAUAGCAAGGGCCGGGCAAGACCGGUGCCAGCCGCCGCGGUAACACCGGGCGGGCUCGAGUGGUAACCGUUAUUAUUGGGUCCUAAAGGGUCUGUAGCCGGGCGGAUAAAGUCUCUUGGGAAAUCCCAGCAGCUCAACUGUUGGGGCUUUUCAGGAGAUACUGUCUUGGCUCGAGGCUCGGGGAGAGGUGAGAGGUACUUUCAGGGGUAGGGGUGAAAUCUUGGUAAUCUCUUGAAGGGACCACCAGUGGGCGAAGGGGGUCUCAACCAGAACGGGACCUGACGGGCANGGGACGAAAGCUAGGGGGCACGAANCGGAUUAGAUACUCCGGGUAGUCUANCCGUAAACGAUACUCGCUAG
This 777-nucleotide ribosomal RNA is filed under the name uncultured archaeon. Its description in RNAcentral is "bacterial SSU rRNA". It matches the Rfam family "Archaeal small subunit ribosomal RNA", at positions 8 to 770 of the family's 1478-position model. The record is from RNAcentral.